AAGGAAAGGCAGGAAAUCAGGAGGAUAACUGAACUCAUAUUUAAGAGACGGAUGAGACAGAGAGGCGCCUAAUCGUCAAAUUUCACGACAAAAGGUAACACCAGAGGUCAACAAGAAUAAAAGUGAUAAAACAGAGAAAUAAAUGAGAAGUUACUGCAAACAAAAAAACUGAAUAAGAGAAUAAAACCAAGAAAAGACAGAGAGCGAAAAAGACGAUACUAGGCUGUGAACAUGGACUAAUAGGGUUUCCUUGACUUUUGGAGCCAGCCCCAUGUGGACACUUGAGGUACUGCAGUUUUUGGACUUAUUAAAGUCAUUAAAGCUCAUAUUGUUCAUGUAAUGAAGUAUUUUUGAAGUCUGGCUAACCCCCGAUCUCCACCUUCCUCCUGAUCGUCUCCUAAAAGGUCGUAUCCUCCGAUCGUAGCUGAUCGUAACCAUUCAAGUUAACGUGUCAAUUUACACCGACUUCUUUCCGUUCCUCUGCGGAUCGCCGGACUCCUCAGCUGAUCACAAGAGUUCGAUUUUUUCUGGACGCCGGAGCAUGGCGGAUAAAUUCAGCACAGAUUAACCCGUGCUGGAAAGGAAGUCGGGCACAGACACAAAAUAAAACAUCCGGCUUCUUUUCAAAAUAAAACACUCCGUGUUUCAGGAGGAUCGUAUUUCACACCAUGCAAACGGGCGGAGACGAACAAGUGAAAGGUUUUUAGACGUCAUUUCACCCCGAUGACACCAUGGAUGAGGAGAUGCUGAUUCUAGAAGUCUAGAAGUAGAUUUCCUCCUCUGGAAGGACACAAUCUACUGCUUAUA
Non-coding RNA from Xyrichtys novacula (pearly razorfish), 807 nucleotides. The record is from the annotation of a GenBank genome assembly. Lineage: Eukaryota; Metazoa; Chordata; Actinopteri; Labriformes; Labridae.